AGGCCCCGAAGGACAGGGCUGGAAAGGGCCAAGGGGAAGUGGCCCAGGGAACCUGAGCAGUGGAGGAGAGAGAAGCAGGGCAGGACAUGGCUGCUGCCAGAGGGUCCCUGGGCUGGAACCCAGAGUAGUGGGUGGGCCUGGGUUCCCCCUCCCCCCCUCACACUGCACCUGGCCAGGGAGGAGCCUGGUCCGAUACAGACGGGGGCUGGACCUGAGGCUGGGGGCUAGACUCGGGUUGCAGUUGGGCACAAGGCAGGGCCAGGCUGAGGACUGUGGAUACCCCUGGAAGAGGGAGAACUGAGUGGGGCACAGCUGGAGGGCAGGUGCAGGCUGAGGACUGUGGAUACCCCUGGAAGAGGGAGAACUGAGUGGGGCACAGCUGGAGGUCAGGGCCAGGCUGAGGACUGCGGAUACCCCUAGGAUGGGGAGAACUGAGUGGGGCACAGCUGGAGGGCAGGGCCAGGCUGAGGACUGCGGAUACCCCCGGAAGGGGGGAGAACUGAGCAUGGCACAGCUGGAGGGCUCUGUCCAGGAGAGGAGGCCGCAAGCCAGGGAGCAACGUGGGUCCCAGACAGCACAACAGACCAGACAACGGGUGAGAUGCCACCUGCAGAGGGCGCCCCACAGCUGGGCAGAGCUAGUUCCUGGAGCAGCCAGCAGGAGGUGCCGCGGUGAUGAGUCUGCAUGUGUUACAGGUGGGUUGGGACUGGGGCAUCGCUGCUGCUACCCUGAGUAAAUGGCCUCUGCUGGAAGGAGUCGUCUGGAGGGGGUUGGGGGUGGAAUAUGUCCUCAGUGCCUGCACUGCCAUGCGUGCUGACAGACAGGACUCGUGGAACGGUGCACUUGGCACUUACACUUCAGAUCGAGGGAAGUGAUCAUUCCCCUCUAGUCGGCACUGGUGAGGCCUCAUCUGGAGUCCUGUGUCCAGCUUUGGGCCCCACACUACAAGAAGGAUGUGGAAAAAUUGGAAAGAGUCCAGCGGAGGGCAACAAAAAUGAUUAGGGGGCUGGAGCACAUGACUUAUGAG
This is a long non-coding RNA of Gopherus flavomarginatus (Mexican gopher tortoise), 1027 nucleotides long. RefSeq lists it as uncharacterized. NCBI's taxonomy places the organism in Eukaryota, Metazoa, Chordata, Testudines, Testudinidae. The record is from RefSeq and is a predicted model, not a curated record. The transcript has 3 exons.